This 440-nucleotide ribosomal RNA is filed under the name Sus scrofa (pig). RNAcentral describes it as "partial 12S ribosomal RNA". It matches the Rfam family "Bacterial small subunit ribosomal RNA", at positions 768 to 1404 of the family's 1533-position model. The record is from RNAcentral. Lineage: Eukaryota; Metazoa; Chordata; Mammalia; Artiodactyla; Suidae.
CAAACUGGGAUUAGAUACCCCACUAUGCCUAGCCCUAAACCCAAAUAGUUACAUAACAAAACUAUUCGCCAGAGUACUACUCGCAACUGCCUAAAACUCAAAGGACUUGGCGGUGCUUCACAUCCACCUAGAGGAGCCUGUUCUAUAAUCGAUAAACCCCGAUAGACCUUACCAACCCUUGCCAAUUCAGCCUAUAUACCGCCAUCUUCAGCAAACCCUAAAAAGGAACAAUAGUAAGCACAAUCAUAGCACAUAAAAACGUUAGGUCAAGGUGUAGCUUAUGGGUUGGAAAGAAAUGGGCUACAUUUUCUACAUAAGAAUAUCCACCACACGAAAGUUUUUAUGAAACUAAAAACCAAAGGAGGAUUUAGCAGUAAAUCAAGAAUAGAGUGCUUGAUUGAAUAAGGCCAUGAAGCACGCACACACCGCCCGUCACCCUC